RNAcentral lists this ribosomal RNA (220 nucleotides) under uncultured bacterium. RNAcentral describes it as "partial 16S ribosomal RNA". It matches the Rfam family "Bacterial small subunit ribosomal RNA", at positions 109 to 334 of the family's 1533-position model. The record is from RNAcentral.
AGUAAUGUAUGGAGAUCUGCCUGAUGGCGGGGGAUAACUACUGGAAACGGUAGCUAAUACCGCAUAACGUCGCAAGACCAAAGAGGGGGACCUUCGGGCCUCUUGCCAUCGAUGUGCCCAGAUGGGAUUAGCUAGUAGGUGGGUAACGGCUCACCUAGGCGACGAUCCCUAGCUGGUCUGAGAGGAUGACCAGCCACACUGGAACUGAGACACGGUCCAG